RNAcentral lists this ribosomal RNA (497 nucleotides) under uncultured bacterium. RNAcentral's name for it is "partial 16S ribosomal RNA". It matches the Rfam family "Bacterial small subunit ribosomal RNA", at positions 28 to 507 of the family's 1533-position model. The record is from RNAcentral.
GAUGAACGCUGGCGGCGUGCCUAAUACAUGCAAGUCGAGCGAACGGACGAGAAGCUUGCUUCUCUGAUGUUAGCGGCGGACGGGUGAGUAACACGUGGAUAACCUACCUAUAAGACUGGGAUAACUUCGGGAAACCGGAGCUAAUACCGGAUAAUAUUUUGAACCGCAUGGUUCAAAAGUGAAAGACGGUCUUGCUGUCACUUAUAGAUGGAUCCGCGCUGCAUUAGCUAGUUGGUAAGGUAACGGCUUACCAAGGCAACGAUGCAUAGCCGACCUGAGAGGGUGAUCGGCCACACUGGAACUGAGACACGGUCCAGACUCCUACGGGAGGCAGCAGUAGGGAAUCUUCCGCAAUGGGCGAAAGCCUGACGGAGCAACGCCGAGUGAGUGAUGAAGGUCUUCGGAUCGUAAAACUCUGUUAUUAGGGAAGAACAUAUGUGUAAGUAACUGUGCACAUCUUGACGGUACCUAAUCAGAAAGCCACGGCCAACUACGUG